Molecule: ribosomal RNA, 1881 nt
Filed under: Triticum aestivum (bread wheat)
Lineage: Eukaryota; Viridiplantae; Streptophyta; Magnoliopsida; Poales; Poaceae
Description: partial small subunit ribosomal RNA
Source: RNAcentral
AUGGCCAAGAACUACGGCGGAGUGUACAACAUCCACGGCUGGGGCGACCCCUACUUCGCCGUCAACACGCACGGCCACCUCUGCGUCCGCCCCCACGGCCGCCAAACCUCACCGGGCCAGGAGAUCGACCUGCUCUCCGUCAUCCACCAAGCCGCAGCGACGACGACCACCGACGAUCACGACGGCAAGGAGAGGAGGCUCCAGUUCCCCAUGAUCCUCCGCUUCCCCGACGUGCUCCGGCACCGGCUCGACUCGCUGCACGCCGCGUUCGCGGCCGCCAUCGAGCACACUGGCUACCGCUCCGUCUACCAGGGCGUGUUCCCGGUCAAGGUGAACCAGAACAAGGCCGUCGUGCAGGACAUGGUCCGCUUCGGCCACGAGUACGGCUACGGGCUCGAGGCCGGGUCCAAGCCGGAGCUGCUCAUCGCCAUGAGCUGCCUCACCAGGGGCAGAGCCAAGCCUGGCGCCUACCUGGUGUGCAACGGAUACAAGGACAAGGACUACGUCGCGCUCGCCCUGGCGGCGCGCGCCAUGGGCCUCAACGUCAUCAUCGUGCUGGAGAUGGAGGAGGAGCUCGACAUCGUCGUCGAGCAGAGCCGCAGGCUCGGCAUCGAGCCGGCCAUUGGUGUUCGUGCCAAGCUGCUAACCAAGUUACCGGGCCAUUUCGGGUCCACGGCCGGCAAGCACGGCAAGUUCGGGCUCCUGGCCGAGAGGAUCUACGAGGUGGCCCGGAAGCUCAGGGGCAUGGGCAAGCUGCAUUGGCUCAAGCUGCUGCACUUCCACGUCGGCUCCAUGAUCCCGUCCACGGACAUCGUCUUCAAGGCGGCCUGCGAGGCCGCCGGGAUCUACUGCGCGCUCGUGAACGAUUGUGGCGCGGAGGCGAUGACCACGCUGGACUGCGGCGGUGGGCUCGGCGUCGACUACGACGGGACACGAUCGGGCAGCUCCGACAUGUCGGUGGCGUAUGGGCUGGAGGAGUACGCGUCCAGCAUCGUGCAGGCGGUGCGGCUCAAGUGUGACGACAACGGCGUUCCCCACCCCGUGCUCUGCACCGAGAGCGGCCGCGCCAUGGCGUCACACCACUCCAUGAUCAUCCUCGAGGCGCUCUCCGCGAUCGCCGAGCCCAAAGACGACGGCGACACCACAGAGCAGCUGCACGCCAAGAUCCAUGAGCUGGCCUCGAAGCAGCAGCCGAGGGCGCUAUUGAAUUUGAAGGGUGACGCGGCGGCGGGCAUGUCCACGUCCCAUGCCUUGGACAUCAAGAAGCACGGCAUCGAGAUGUACAAGCUGGGCAAGAAGCUCGCCAAGAGCGUCAUGGCUGACGCCGCCACCAUCUACAACUACCACAUGAACCUGUCCGUCUUCUCGCUGGUGCCCGACUUCUGGGGCAUCCAGCAGUUGUUCCCGAUGAUGCCGGUGAGCCGGCUCCACGAGAGGCCGACCCGCAUGGCCACACUCGUCGACCUCACCUGCGACAGCGACGGGAAGAUCGAGAAGUUCAUCGGCGGGGCAGAGACGCUGCCGCUGCACCCGCUGGACACCGUGUCUAGCCCUGGCGGCGGCGGAUACUACGUGGCCGUGCUCCUGUCCGGAGCGUACCAGGAGGCCCUGUCCAGCAAGCACAACCUGUUCGGCGGCCCCAGUCUCGUGCGCGUGCUUGGCGGUGACGACGGCGAGUUCAUACUCGACACGGUUGACCUGGGCCCGACCACGGAGGAGCUCAUCGGCACCAUGAGGUACGACAUCAAGAAGGACAUCGGCGGGGUGAUCGAGGAGCGAGCGAGGGAGAAGCAGGUGUGGGAAAUGGUGGGGACGCUCGUGGGGAACGCGCUCAACACCAUGCCGUACCUCGUCGAUUAUCAGCCCCCACCAACCGCCUAG